This 73-nucleotide transfer RNA is filed under the name Camelus bactrianus (Bactrian camel). It matches the Rfam family "tRNA". From Rfam's summary of the family: Transfer RNA (tRNA) molecules are approximately 80 nucleotides in length. Their secondary structure includes four short double-helical elements and three loops (D, anti-codon, and T loops). RNAcentral also lists the same sequence under 2 other names. The record is from Rfam by way of RNAcentral. Lineage: Eukaryota; Metazoa; Chordata; Mammalia; Artiodactyla; Camelidae.
GAAGGCAUAGCUCAAGUGGUAGAGUGAAUGCUUAGCAUGCAUGAGGUCCUGGGUUCAUUCUCCAGUACCUCCU